This 240-nucleotide unclassified non-coding RNA is filed under the name soil metagenome. Its description in RNAcentral is "partial contains 5.8S ribosomal RNA, internal transcribed spacer 2, and large subunit ribosomal RNA". The record is from RNAcentral.
AACCAUAGAAACCUGCGGAGUACCUGCGGAAGGAUCAUUACAGAGUUGCAAAACUCCCUAAACCAUUGUGAACGUUACCUAAACCGUUGCUUCGGCGGGCGGCCCGGGUCCUUCCCGGCGCCCAUCGGCCCUCGCGGGCGCCCGCCGGAGGUAAACCAAACUAUUGCAUUGUAUGGCCUCUCUGAGUCUCCUGUACUGAAUAAGUCAAAACUUUCAACAAUGGAUCUCAGAUCGGAAGAG